UUGUAAACUUUAAAUAGGGAGUCGGACCUGCCCGGUGAAAAUUUUUAACGGCCGCGGUACUCUGACCGUGCAAAGGUAGCAUAAUCAUUUGCCUUAUAAUUGAAGGCUAGUAUGAAGGGUUUGACAAGGAUAUAACUGUCUCUUUAUAAUUUGAUAGAAUUUUAUUUUUAGGUGAAGAAGCCUAAAUAACAUUGAAAGACAAGAAGACCCUAUCGAGCUUGAAAAAAAUUAAUAGAUAAACUGAGUUAAUAAAUUUAAAAAACUAACUGUUAUAUAUUUUAGUUGGGGCGACUGAGGAACAAUAAAAGCUUCCUUCAUUUAAUUAAACACUAUUCAAGUAUUGAUCCAGAAUUAUUCUGAUUAAGGAAAUUAGUUACCGUAGGGAUAACAGCAUAAUCUUUUUUAAGAGUUCUUAUCGAAAAAAAGGUUUGUGACCUCGAUGUUGGACCAGAGUAUCCCAAAGAUGCAGCAGUCUUUAAAGGUUGGUCUGUUCGACCAUUAAAACUCUA
Molecule: ribosomal RNA, 509 nt
Filed under: Belomitra caudata
Lineage: Eukaryota; Metazoa; Mollusca; Gastropoda; Neogastropoda; Buccinidae
Description: partial 16S ribosomal RNA
Rfam family: Bacterial large subunit ribosomal RNA
Source: RNAcentral